UGCACACUAGAUCCUUCUACUGAAAAACAUGAGAAUCACACCUGACAAGGUGAAUGAACACCAUGCCUCACCAGAAGCCCCGCCUCCACAGGUGAAGAACAUUAGAAUCACACCUGACAAGGCCAAUGAACACCAUGCCUCACCAGAAGCCCCGCCUUCCACAGGUGAAGAACAUUAGAAUCACGCCUGACAAGGCCAAUGAACACCAUGCCUCACCAGAAGCCCCGCCUCCACAGGUGAAGAACAUUAGAAUCACGCCUGACAAGGCCAAUGAACACCAUGCCUCACCAGAAGCCCCGCCUUCCACAGGUGAAGAACAUUAGAAUCACGCCUGACAAGGCCAAUGAACACCAUGCCUCACCAGAAGCCCCGCCUUCCACAGGUGAAGAACAUUAGAAUCACGCCUGACAAGGCCAAUGAACACCAUGCCUCACCAGAAGCCCCGCCUUCCACAGGUGAAGAACAUUAGAAUCACGCCUGACAAGGCCAAUGAACACCAUGCCUCACCAGAAGCCCCGCCUUCCACAGGUG
Oncorhynchus keta (chum salmon) is the source of this 531-nucleotide long non-coding RNA. RefSeq lists it as uncharacterized. The transcript has 4 exons. The record is from RefSeq and is a predicted model, not a curated record. NCBI's taxonomy places the organism in Eukaryota, Metazoa, Chordata, Actinopteri, Salmoniformes, Salmonidae.